AACGCACAUUGCGCCUUUUGGUAUUCCGAGAGGCACGUCUGUUUGAGCGUCAGCAAAACCUUCCGGCCGAACGGUUUAUUCCGGGGAGCUCGGGCCAGCUGGCGUGGGGACUGGCCGCGGCGCUUCGGCGCUGGCGGACCUUCCCCCGCUUAAAAGUGUGGAAGUUAGCGGGGUGUGCCCCGGAUCGCGACGACUCGUAAGCAUUUUACCGUCCGAAGCGUCCGGAACCGCCCCCCGCCUUAAACCAAAAAAAGGAGGGCCCCCCGUGGCACUUUUUUUUCGAACCCUUGACCUCAGAUCAGACGAGGAUACCCGCUGAACUUAA
This 325-nucleotide unclassified non-coding RNA is filed under the name uncultured Ascomycota. RNAcentral's name for it is "sequence contains 5.8S rRNA gene, ITS2, 28S rRNA gene". The stretch from base 1 to 52 matches the Rfam family "5.8S ribosomal RNA", at positions 103 to 154 of the family's 154-position model. The record is from RNAcentral. Lineage: Eukaryota; Fungi; Ascomycota.